UGAUGACGAGACGCUAAGGCGUUGAAGUAGUGUAUGUCAGGCUUCCAAGAAAAGCUCGCAAUGUCAUAGAUAAAAAAUGCCUGUACCAUAACCGACACAGGUGGGUAGGUAGAGUAUACUAAGGGGCGCGAGAUAACUCUCUCUAAGGAACUCGGCAAAAUGACUCCGUAACUUCGGGAGAAGGAGUGCCUUAUUUAUAAGGUUGCAAUAACAAGAUCCAAGCAACUGUUUAUCAAAAACACAGGUCUCCGCUAAGUCGUAAGACGAUGUAUGGGGGCUGACGCCUGCCCAGUGCCAGAAGGUUAAAGAAGUUGGUUAGUUUAUACGGAGCUGAUGACUGAAGCCCUGGUGAACGGCGGCCGUAACUAUAACGGUCCUAAGGUAGCGAAAUUCCUUGUCGGGUAAGUUCCGACCCGCACGAAAGGCGUAAUGAUUUGGAUACUGUCUCGGAGAGAGGCUCGGUGAAAUAGACUUGUCUGUGAAGAUGCGGACUACCUGCACCAGGACAGAAAGACCCUAUGAAGCUUUACUGUAACUUGAAAUUGGAAUUGGACUUUGCUUGCGCAGUAUAGGUGGGAAGCGUUGAAGAUACUCUUGCGGGAGUAUUGGAGCUAUCAGUGAGAUACCACUCUUGUAAUGUUAGAUUUCUAACUUUGAACCAUAAUCUGGUCAAAGAACAGUUUCAGGUGGGCAGUUUGACUGGGGCGGUCGCCUCCCAAAUGGUAACGGAGGCGUACAAAGGUUUCCUCUGAACGGAUAGAAAUCGUAUCUAGAGUGUAAAGGCAUAAGGAAGCUUGACUGUGAGACCUACAAGUCGAGCAGGGACGAAAGUCGGUCUUAGUGAUCUGACGGUACUGAGUGGAAAGGCCGUCACUCAACGGAUAAAAGUUACUCUAAGGAUAACAGGCUGAUCUCCCCCAAGAGUUCACAUCGACGGGGAGGUUUGGCACCUCGAUGUCGGCUCAUCGCAUCCUGGGGCGGUAGUACGUCCCAAGGGUUGGGCUGUUCGCCCAUGAAAGCGGUACGCGAGCUGGGUUCAGAACGUCGUGAGACAGUUCGGUCCAUAUCCGGUGUAGGCGCUAGAAUAUUGAGAGGAGCCUUCUUUAGUACGAGAGGACCGAGAAGGACACACCGCUGGUGUACCAGUUAUCGUGCCAACGGUAAACGCUGGGUAGCUAUGUGUGGGGUGGAUAACCGCUGAAAGCAUCUAAGUGGGAAGCCCACCUCAAGAUGAGUAUUCUCAUCACUAUAAGUGAGUAAGGUCACGGUAAGACUAACCGUUCGAUAGGCAUUAAGUGUAAGUACAGUAAUGUAUGUGCUGAGAUGUCCUAACAGACCGAGGACUUG
RNAcentral lists this ribosomal RNA (1347 nucleotides) under metagenome. Its description in RNAcentral is "bacterial LSU rRNA". It matches the Rfam family "Bacterial large subunit ribosomal RNA", at positions 1564 to 2925 of the family's 2925-position model. The record is from RNAcentral.